Molecule: unclassified non-coding RNA, 467 nt
Filed under: uncultured Bordetella sp.
Lineage: Bacteria; Pseudomonadati; Pseudomonadota; Betaproteobacteria; Burkholderiales; Alcaligenaceae
Description: partial 16S-23S ribosomal RNA intergenic spacer
Rfam family: Bacterial small subunit ribosomal RNA
Source: RNAcentral
UUCAGAGGCAGCAGUGGGGAAUUUUGGACAAUGGGGAAACCCUGAUCCAGCCAUCCCGCGUGCGAUGGGGCCUUCGGGUUGUAAAGCACUUUUGGCAGGGGAAAGAAGUAGCUGCAGGAUAAUACCCGAUGCAACUGACGGUACCUACCCGGUAUAAGCACCGGCUAACUACGUGCCGGCGGCCACCGGUGGCACGUAGGGUGCAAGCGUUAAUCUGGAAUUACUGGGCGUAAAGCGUGCAUGAGCGGUUCGGAAAAGAAAGAUGAAAUCCCAGAGCUUAACUUUGGAACUGCGACACCAACUACCGAGCUAGAGUGUGUCAGGAGGUGGAGAUUCCACGCGUGUGGCGAAGUGAAAUGCGUAGAUAUGCGGAGGAACACCGAUGGCGAAGGCAGCCUCCUGGGAUAACACUGACGCUCAUGCACGAAAAGCGAUGUAAGGAGCAAACAGGAUUAGAUACCCCCGUA